This is a ribosomal RNA of Ipomoea nil (Japanese morning glory), 1700 nucleotides long. It matches the Rfam family "Eukaryotic small subunit ribosomal RNA". The record is from Rfam. Lineage: Eukaryota; Viridiplantae; Streptophyta; Magnoliopsida; Solanales; Convolvulaceae.
UACCUGGUUGUAUCCUGCAGUGAGUCAUAUGCUUGUUCAAGAUUAGUCGCAUGGCAAUGUGUAAGUAUGAACUAUUCGAUGUGAAACUUGCGAAGUGGUCAAUUAAAUCAGUUACUAGUUUGUUGAUGGUAAUACUCUCGGAUAACCGUAGUAAUUCUAGAGCUAAUACGUGCAACAACCGACUUUGAAGGAUGCUUAUUAGAUAAAAGGUGAGGCGCUUUGGCCGUUGUGAUUAUUCAUGAUAAUAGACGGAUCGAUUUGCCUUAGGGCCGCGACGAUCAUAAAUUCUGGCCUAUCAAUUCGAUGGGUAGGAUAGUGCUACAUGGUAGUAGACGGGUGACGAGAAUUAGGGUUCGAUUGCGGAGAGGGAAGGUCUGAGAAACGGUACCACAUCAAGGCAGAGCAGGCGCGCAAAUUAACCAAUACUGACGGGGAGGUAGUGAAAUAAAUAAGCCUACGGGUCGAUCGAGUUGUUAAUUGAAUGAGUAGAAUAUAAAAUCCCUAACGAGAGAUCUUUGGAGGGGCGUCGGUGCAGGCAGCCGCGGUAAUUCAGCUCGCAAUAGCGUAUAUUUAAAGUUGUUGGCAGUUAAGCUCGUAGUUGGACUUUGAGAUGGGCCGGCCGGGUCCGCCCCACGGGUGUGCAACGGUGGUCUCGUCCUUCUGCCGGGAAUUGCGCUCCGUGCCUAUAAAUUGGCGGGUCGUGCCUCCGGCGCUGUUACUUUGAGAAAUUAGAGUGCUCAAGCAAGCUUACGUCUGUAUACAUUAGCAUGGGAUAAAUUAUAGGAUUUAGGUCCUAUUACGUUGGCUUCGGGAUGGAGUUAAUGAAUAAGCAGGCGCAGUCGGGGGCAUUCGUAUUUCAUAAGUCAGAGGUGAAAUUCUUGGAUUUAUGAAGACGAAGCCAACUGGAAAGCAUUUGCCAAGGAUGUUUUAUUAAUCAAGACACGAAAGUUGGGGGCUUCGAAGACGAUAGAACCGUCUAUCUCAAACAUAUAACAUGCGAGGAUGGCGUGUUGGGGCUUUUUGGACUCCGCCACUUAUGAGAAAUAAAGUCUUGGUUGGGGGGAUAUGGUGAAGGGCUAAACUUAGGAAUUGACGAAGGGACCACAGGAGUGGAGCCUGUGGCUUAUUUGACUCAACCGGGAAACUUACAGGUGAAUAGUAAGGAUUGACGAUUGAGAGCUCUUUCGAGAUUCCUAUGGGUGGUGUCAUGGCGUUCUUAGUUGGUGGGCGAUUUGUCUGGUUAAUUGUACGAACGAGACCUCAGGGCUGCUACUAGCUUCUGCGAGGUAUUCGCUCGGAGCUUUUAGAGGGCUAGCCUUUCAGCCGGGAAGUUUGAGCAAUAUACAGGUGUGAUGCCUUAGAUUUCUAGGCGCACGCGCUACAUGAUGUAUUCAAUCGAGCCAUAUUAACCUUGGCCGACGUGGCCCGGUAAUACUUGAAAAUUUCAUGUGAUGGGAUAGAUCAUUGCAAUUGUUGGUCUUCAACGAGGAAUUCCUAGUAGCGCGAGUGCAUCAGCUCGCGUUGACUAGUCCUGCUUUGUAGCAAUGCCGUGCUCCUAACGAUUGAUAGAUCCGUGAAGUGUUCGAUCGCGCGACGUGGGCGGUUCGGUGCCGCGACGUCGCGAGAAGAGUCGACUGACUUUAUAUUUAGAGGAGGAGAAGCGUAACUAGGUUUCCGUAGGUGAACUGGAAGGAUCAUUU